GCGAGGGUGGCGGAAUGGCAGACGCGCUAGUUUGAGGGGCUAGUGCCGGAAACGGCGUGCGGGUUCAAAUCCCGCUCCUCGCACCA
This 86-nucleotide transfer RNA is filed under the name Deltaproteobacteria bacterium. Its description in RNAcentral is "tRNA-Leu". It matches the Rfam family "tRNA". Rfam says of the family: Transfer RNA (tRNA) molecules are approximately 80 nucleotides in length. Lineage: Bacteria; Pseudomonadati; Myxococcota; Myxococcia. The record is from RNAcentral.